AACGAACGCUGGCGGCAUGCCUAACACAUGCAAGUCGAACGAGACCUUCGGGUCUAGUGGCGCACGGGUGCGUAACGCGUGGGAACCUGCCCUUAGGUUCGGAAUAACUCCCCGAAAGGGGUGCUAAUACCGGAUAAUGUCUUCGGACCAAAGAUUUAUCGCCUUUGGAUGGGCCCGCGUUGGAUUAGCUAGUUGGUAGGGUAAAAGCCUACCAAGGCGACGAUCAUAGCUGGUCUGAGAGGAUGAUCAGCCACACUGGGACUGAGACACGGCCCAGACUCCUACGGGAGGCAGCAGUGGGGAAUAUUGGACAAUGGGCGAAAGCCUGAUCCAGCAAUGCCGCGUGAGUGAUGAAGGCCUUAGGGUUGUAAAGCUCUUUUACCCGGGAUGAUAAUGACAGUACCGGGAGAAUAAGCUCCGGCUAACUCCGU
RNAcentral lists this ribosomal RNA (431 nucleotides) under uncultured bacterium. RNAcentral's name for it is "partial 16S ribosomal RNA". It matches the Rfam family "Bacterial small subunit ribosomal RNA", at positions 29 to 506 of the family's 1533-position model. The record is from RNAcentral.